AAUGGGGGAAACCCUGAUGCAGCGAUGCCGCGUGAGUGAAGAAGGCCUUUGGGUUGUAAAACUCUUUCGUCGGGGAAGAAAAUGACUGUACCCGAAUAAGAAGGUCCGGCUAACUCCGUGCAGCAGCCGCGGUAAUACGAAGGGACCUAGCGUAGUUCGGAAUUACUGGGCUUAAAGAGCUCGUAGGUGGUUAAAAAAGUUGAUGGUGAAAUCCCAAGGCUCAACCUUGGAACUGCCAUCAAAACUUUUUAGCUAGAGUGUGAUAGAGGUAAGUGGAAUUUCUAGUGUAGAGGUGAAAUUCGUAGAUAUUAGAAAGAACACCAAAUGCGAAGGCAACUUACUGGGUCACUACUGACACUGAGGAGCGAAAGCAUGGGUAGCGAAGAGGAUU
Molecule: ribosomal RNA, 391 nt
Filed under: uncultured Gammaproteobacteria bacterium
Lineage: Bacteria; Pseudomonadati; Pseudomonadota; Gammaproteobacteria
Description: bacterial SSU rRNA
Rfam family: Bacterial small subunit ribosomal RNA
Source: RNAcentral